Molecule: transfer RNA, 114 nt
Filed under: Flavobacterium indicum GPTSA100-9 = DSM 17447
Lineage: Bacteria; Pseudomonadati; Bacteroidota; Flavobacteriia; Flavobacteriales; Flavobacteriaceae
Description: tRNA-Und (NNN) (tRNA-Und-NNN-1-1)
Rfam family: tRNA
About the family: Transfer RNA (tRNA) molecules are approximately 80 nucleotides in length. Their secondary structure includes four short double-helical elements and three loops (D, anti-codon, and T loops).
Source: Rfam by way of RNAcentral
GGGGCAGUAGCUCAGUGGUAGAGCAAGUAGUUUUGAAAUUAUCUUUUAGGUCAAUCAAAACUUACUUCUACACUUUUAAUGUCUGUGUCGUGGGUUCGAGUCCCACCUGCUCCA